Ruditapes philippinarum (Manila clam) is the source of this 326-nucleotide long non-coding RNA. RefSeq lists it as uncharacterized. The transcript has 8 exons. The record is from RefSeq and is a predicted model, not a curated record. NCBI's taxonomy places the organism in Eukaryota, Metazoa, Mollusca, Bivalvia, Venerida, Veneridae.
UUCAGAAGAGUGAGUCAGGCGAAUUACACGGUCAAACUCGUAUCAUAAAAAUCACUUUGGUUGGAAAUCUCUGUAUAUCUUGAAACACAAUGUCGGGUCAAGAUAGUAAACAUGACAGGGAUUCAGGCAUUUCAAAGACGGAUCAAGAUAGAAAUUAUGACGGGGAUUCAGGCAACUCGCGGACGGAUCAAGAUAGAAAUGAUGACGGGGAUUCAGGCAACUCGCAGGCGAGCAGUAUACUUGGAGGUCCGGUGGGUGCAGGAGCUUUCGCUGGACUUCCGGUAAGUUGAGUUAUACUUGCGUCUAGAACAUCUUUGAUUAAAAUG